Molecule: long non-coding RNA, 712 nt
Filed under: Gallus gallus (chicken)
Lineage: Eukaryota; Metazoa; Chordata; Aves; Galliformes; Phasianidae
Source: RNAcentral
UCUCUGUCUCGCUGCAAUGUGGUUUUCCUCUCAGGGAAGCGCUCAAGCCCUGAAUUUUCAGUCUGGCUUGCACAUGCUGUCAGAAGCUAGUGGGAGACAGUUUUCUUCUUAAUGCAGAAAAGAGGACAAGCUUUCACUUUAGUGGAAGAUCCUACCUGCCUUUUGGCCUGUCAGCCUUACUGAGACAGCAUCCACUGCAACCGGAGAAGCACAGCAAACUGCUUCCUGCUGCCCAGAACAUGGCUGUGCUUCAUCACUUCAGGUCUCACACCAUCCAGCUGGUAGCUGUUGCUGUUGUCUGGAGGACUUGCAAGCAAAACACUGACAAAUCAGCUGAUAUCUUUGCUUCCCUGUCCCUGUAUUUUCUGUAUGAUGGAAGGUCACUGGGAGGUAGCACAGCUUCUCUUCUGAGAUGCGUGGUGGUGGCUGGUUAGAUAAUCAGCGUGAGGAUGGAGGGGGUGGAGAAGAUUGAAUAUCCAUGGACAAACAGAAGAUGGUUCUCAGCCAUUUCAGAGCACAACUUUAGCUUGGUGUGUUUCUUGUAUGAUUUUUGUCCUGUUCUAUAAAUGGUCAGUAAUGUAGAAGGAGAAGAGAAAUACAGCUAAAUAAGUCCUAUGUCCGUACAUACACGUGACGGUUUUACUGUAAUUUGUGUGUUCUCUAUGGGAUCUAACUAAGCAUAAAAAAGUCACAAAUCAUAAACUCCAGAGAG